RNAcentral lists this ribosomal RNA (315 nucleotides) under uncultured eukaryote. RNAcentral's name for it is "partial 18S ribosomal RNA". It matches the Rfam family "Eukaryotic small subunit ribosomal RNA", at positions 1470 to 1796 of the family's 1831-position model. The record is from RNAcentral.
CCCUUAGAUGUUCUGGGCUGCACGCGCGCUACACUGACGCACGCAACAGGUGCCUGCUCCGAGAGGACUGGGUAAUCAUUUGAGUGUGCGUCGUGAUGGGGAUAGAAUAUUGUAAUUAUUACUCUUCAACGAGGAAUUCCUAGUAAGCGCCAGUCAGCAGCUUGCGCUGAUUACGUCCCUGUCCUUUGUACACACCGCCCGUCGCUCCUACCGAUGGGUGAUCCGGUGAAUGAUUCGGACUUCAGCGGCUCCCCUGGGGUGCGCCGGAGAAAGUUUUGUGAACCUUAUCACUUGGAGGAAGGAGAAGUCGUAACA